This is a long non-coding RNA of Mauremys reevesii (Reeves's turtle), 1307 nucleotides long. RefSeq lists it as uncharacterized. The record is from RefSeq and is a predicted model, not a curated record. Lineage: Eukaryota; Metazoa; Chordata; Testudines; Geoemydidae. The transcript has 3 exons.
GGAUGCUCUGCCUGCCAGCCAGCCAGCCAGCCGAUGCAGCCUUACUGCCUUGCUACAGGAUUGCUAUCAACUCAUCAGCUUGGUGAAUGAGAUGUGAAUUGAAUUUUGACACCGAUGGCACUACAAGUAGAAGGAUCCAUGUGAUUUUGAUACCAGGAUAAGAAUUCACUGCAGCAACUGGCUCAGUUGCUCCCCAAGAUCGUAGCUGUGAGGAACACACACAGUCAACUUCAACAGCUGGGGAAGAGCAGUCUGUUAAAGAACAUGCAGCCUGGAGGCCCACCCACAUCCAUCUACAUGGUAUGGUGCAGCAGCUGGUGUUGUGAAUCAGGCCGUUGCCAAUCAGAGAACGGCUACUUCACAACACCAGGGUUGUACCCUACCACAGUCGUCAGCCUGGAAAGCAACGUACACAAAACGAAGAUUCCUGACGCUUACAUUCAACGUUGUCUUCUAUCCACUGCAGGACUAAGGACAGCAACUAGAUUUCCCCUGGCCAAAAGUUUAUUAGUCUUGUUAAUAUCCCAUGCAAAUUUAGAUUUUCCUGCUUUGGUCACAGCAGUCUAUUAAUUCAGUCCUCUUGUCUGUUGCAUCUUACAUUCAACGUUGUCUUCUAUCCUCAAUUCCAACCUAAGGCCCCUAAAGUUAUCUUGUAGAGCAUUUACCCAGCAGACAUUUAACAUUUCUGUAAGGUAUACUGCAGCUAGAUUAAUUACUGUAAUGUUAAGGAGGAGGUAGCUCUUAUCAAGUGAAUGAAAAUAUUAGCGCAUAGAGCCCCACUACAUUCCUGGUGUGGUGUGGUUUAUGGUUUGUUGUCCUGGUUUAUGUACUAUUUAUUAUAGGCACGAUUCCAUCUAAUUACCCAAUCAGUUGUUUUCUGUAACUUACUGUAUUUGUCAUAAAAGAAAACAGAGUUUGUGAGUGAUAAGAAAAUCUCAGUUAUGUUGUGUGCAAGUAGAAGCACCUUCUAAUAACUGAGCACGGUUGUCUAGAACUAGUACCACAGGGGCUAGCUGCUAUUUCUCAAAGGAGAAAAACUGAAUUCACAUUGCUCAGGAAACCACCAACAAAUCUGCUACACUUCCUACAUGAAUGCAGGACACACAAAAUAUCUACUGUACCCUCUUAGUUACCCUCUUCUUGGAGAGAAAUAUAUAGGAGGUCAUAGGGCAAAACCCUAACUAAGGAACAUAGGUUCAUGUUAAGAAGGAACAUGUAUUGGGGAAAAAAUCUAAGAUGCUGUUACUUGAGGCAGUGAAAUGGUUUCCACUGGAAGCUGUGAAGCUGGGGAGUACUAAUGGAUGUCA